Leopardus geoffroyi (Geoffroy's cat) is the source of this 920-nucleotide long non-coding RNA. RefSeq lists it as uncharacterized. NCBI's taxonomy places the organism in Eukaryota, Metazoa, Chordata, Mammalia, Carnivora, Felidae. The transcript is spliced from 2 exons. The record is from RefSeq and is a predicted model, not a curated record.
GUCGCUAAACUGAGCCACUCAGGCUCAGCCCCUCAGUGGCCCUCAGCAGGGGGCAUCUUAAUGAACAGAGAGGCAGAAUUCACAACUCCUUGCUGCUUUGCUUCUAGUUUCCAGGAGGUAAAGAUUCUUCAUCCAGUGCCUGUCUAGGGCCUUAAGAAAAGCAUGCUAUGUUCCUGACAAGAUAGUGACCAAGAAUUGUCUGUUGGCUCCUUCCCCCAAUUUACUCAUGAGGACCAGAGCCACAGCAUUUCUCAUAAGUGUGAUGCUGCCAGAACAAUAGGCAAAUAGAAGACAAAAAGUAGAAGAGAAUAUGAAGUCCAGAACUAGGCCCAGGAGGAAUUCAAAUAUAGCAGUGAUGGCACCUCAACACAGUGAGGGGAAAUGAUGAUAAUUUGGUAGGCUAUAUUAGGAAAAGUUGUUCAUUCUAUGAAGGGAAACAUGGUUGUUUCCUUAUUGCACACUCUAUACAAAGAUGGAAAACAAAUGGAAUAAAGACUUAAUCUGAAGGCAUAAAUACAAACGUAACUGAAGAAAAAUAUAAGAGAAUAUCUUUGUGAAUUAAGCAUUGGAAAGAUUGCUUAAACACAGAGAUUCCAAAAGCACAAUACAGAAAGCCAAGUGAUACAUACUGCAUAAAUAAAAAAUAAGGUUUCCUGUUUAAUGAAGGAUCCCAGACAGAGUAAGCAGAAAAACAGUAGCCAGAAAGAGGAUAUGUUAAAAGUCUAAAAUCAACCAUAAACCAAUCUCUAAGUUAUACAAAGAAUUCUGAUAAAACAAUAAAAAAAACAAUAAGCUCAUUUUUAAAAAUGAGCCACAAUAAUCAAUUCACAGAAAGCUAAGUCUAAAUAUCUAGUAAUACUCAAAUUCAUUAGUAACCCAAGAUGUGAUUAAAAGUACAAAGAAAUAUCUCUUUCCAACUA